RNAcentral lists this ribosomal RNA (460 nucleotides) under uncultured bacterium. RNAcentral describes it as "partial 16S ribosomal RNA". It matches the Rfam family "Bacterial small subunit ribosomal RNA", at positions 338 to 795 of the family's 1533-position model. The record is from RNAcentral.
CCUACGGGAGGCAGCAGUGAGGAAUAUUGGUCAAUGGACGCAAGUCUGAACCAGCCAUGCCGCGUGCAGGAAGACGGCUCUAUGAGUUGUAAACUGCUUUUGUACGAGGGUAAACGCAGAUAGGCGUAUCGGUCUGAAAGUAUCGUACGAAUAAGGAUCGGCUAACUCAUUGCCCGCAGCCGCGGUACUACGGAGGAUUCAAGCGUUAUACGGAUUUAUUGGGUUUAAAGGGUGCGUAGGCGGUCGGAUAAGUUAGAGGUGAAAUCCCCAGGCUCAACGUGGGAAUUGCCUCUGAUACUGGUCGGCUAGAGAGUAGGUGCGGUAGGCGGAAUGUAUGGUGUAGCGGUGAAAUGCUUAGAGAUCAUACAGAACACCGAUUGCGAAGGCAGCUUACCAAGCUACUUCUGACGUUGAGGCACGAAAGCGUGGGGAGCAAACAGGAUUAGAUACCCCAGUAGUC